GCGGGUGUAGCUCAGGGGUAGAGCGAGACGUUGCCAACGUCUAGGUCGACGGUUCAAUUCCGUUCACCCGCUCCA
RNAcentral lists this transfer RNA (75 nucleotides) under Gammaproteobacteria bacterium. Its description in RNAcentral is "tRNA-Gly". It matches the Rfam family "tRNA". Rfam says of the family: Transfer RNA (tRNA) molecules are approximately 80 nucleotides in length. Their secondary structure includes four short double-helical elements and three loops (D, anti-codon, and T loops). The record is from RNAcentral. Lineage: Bacteria; Pseudomonadati; Pseudomonadota; Gammaproteobacteria. RNAcentral also lists the same sequence under 3 other names.